This 466-nucleotide ribosomal RNA is filed under the name uncultured bacterium. RNAcentral describes it as "partial 16S ribosomal RNA". It matches the Rfam family "Bacterial small subunit ribosomal RNA", at positions 28 to 507 of the family's 1533-position model. The record is from RNAcentral.
GAUGAACGCUGGCGGCGUGCUUAACACAUGCAAGUCGAACGGAAAGGCUCCUGCUUGCAGGGGUACUCGAGUGGCGAACGGGUGAGUAACACGUGGGUGAUCUGCCCUGCACUUCGGGAUAAGCCUGGGAAACUGGGUCUAAUACCGGAUAGGACUAUGGUUUGGAUGCGAUUGUGGAAAGUUUUUUCGGUGUGGGAUGAGCUCGCGGCUUAUAAGCUUGUUGGUGGGGUAAGGGCUUACCAAGGGGUGGAGGGGUAGCCGGCCUGAGAGGGUGUAGGGCCACAUUGGGACGGGGAUAGGGCCCAGACUCCUACGGGAGGCAGCGGGGGGGAAUAUUGCACAAUGGGGGCAACCCCGAUGAAGCGACGCCGCGUGGGGGAUGACGGCCUUCGGGUUGUAAACUCCUUUCGCUAGGGACGAAGCGCAAGUGACGGUACCUGGAGAAGAAGCACCGGCUAACUACGUG